This 429-nucleotide ribosomal RNA is filed under the name uncultured bacterium. RNAcentral describes it as "bacterial SSU rRNA". It matches the Rfam family "Bacterial small subunit ribosomal RNA", at positions 355 to 776 of the family's 1533-position model. The record is from RNAcentral.
UGGGGAAUAUUGGACAAUGGGCGAAAGCCUGAUCCAGCAAUGCCGCGUGUGUGAAGAAGGCCUUCGGGUUGUAAAGCACUUUCAGCGGGGAAGAAAAACUCAAGGCCAAUACCCUUGAGCAUUGACGUUACCCGCAGAAGAAGCACUGGCUAACUCUGUGCCAGCAGCCGCGGUAAUACAGAGAGUGCAAGCGUUAAUCGGAAUUAUUGGGCGUAAAGCGCACGUAGGUGGAUAUUUAAGUCGGAUGUGAAAGCCCCGGGCUCAACCUGGGAACUGCAUUCGAUACUGGGUAUCUAGAGUAUAGUAGAGGGAAGUGGAAUUUCAGGUGUAGCGGUGAAAUGCGUAGAUAUCUGAAGGAACACCAGUGGCGAAAGCGGCUUCCUGGACUAAUACUGACACUGAGGUGCGAAAGCGUGGGGAGCAAACAGG